GAUGAAGAACGUAGCGAAAUGCGAUAAGUAAUGUGAAUUGCAGAAUUCAGUGAAUCAUCGAAUCUUUGAACGCACAUUGCGCCCGCCAGUAUUCUGGCGGGCAUGCCUGUUCGAGCGUCAUUUCAACCCUCAGGGCCCUUUUGGACCUGGCGUUGGGGCUCGGCCGCUACCCUGCGGCCGUCCCCGAAAGAUAGUGGCGGUCUCGCUGUAGCCUCCUCUGCGUAGUAGUUACAUCUCGCACUGGAACGCGGCGCGGCCAUGCCGUUAAACACCCCACUUCUCAAGGUUGACCUCGGAUCAGGUAGGAAUACCCGCUGAACUUAAGCAUAUCAAUAAGUGGAGGA
RNAcentral lists this unclassified non-coding RNA (344 nucleotides) under soil metagenome. Its description in RNAcentral is "partial contains 5.8S ribosomal RNA, internal transcribed spacer 2, and large subunit ribosomal RNA". The stretch from base 1 to 120 matches the Rfam family "5.8S ribosomal RNA", at positions 35 to 154 of the family's 154-position model. The record is from RNAcentral.